Long non-coding RNA from Cotesia glomerata, 92 nucleotides. RefSeq lists it as uncharacterized. The record is from RefSeq and is a predicted model, not a curated record. Lineage: Eukaryota; Metazoa; Arthropoda; Insecta; Hymenoptera; Braconidae. The transcript is spliced from 2 exons.
GGUUGUUUGGGUUCAUUUUACUCGGGAUUUUAUUAUCUAGGUCGCGGUGCACCUAAUUUUCAAAAAUUAACAAUUUUAUUUUUUUGUUAAUC